UACGAAGGGGCGUAGCGUUGUUCGGAAUUACUGGGCGUAAAGCGCACGUAGGCGGAUUGUUAAGUCAGAGGUGAAAUACCCGGACGCUCAACUUCGGAACUGCCUUUGAUACUGGCAAUCUCGAGUCCGGAAGAGGUUAGUGGAAUUCCCAGUGUAGAGGUGAAAUUCGUAGAUAUUGGGAGGAACACCAGUGGCGAAGGCGGCUAACUGGUCCGGUACUGACGCUGAGGUGCGAAAGCGU
Molecule: ribosomal RNA, 241 nt
Filed under: uncultured bacterium
Lineage: Bacteria
Description: partial 16S ribosomal RNA
Rfam family: Bacterial small subunit ribosomal RNA
Source: RNAcentral